Long non-coding RNA from Pantherophis guttatus, 315 nucleotides. RefSeq lists it as uncharacterized. NCBI's taxonomy places the organism in Eukaryota, Metazoa, Chordata, Lepidosauria, Squamata, Colubridae. The record is from RefSeq and is a predicted model, not a curated record.
UUGCCUAACUUUGCAAGUGAGAAUUAAAGGGAGGUUAUCAUUUUCUGAUCUGGGGCCCAUGCCAAAAUGUUUAAAGCAAGGGGCCAGAUCACUAGAAAUUGUUAGAUAAUCUACAGCAGAUAAUUUGUGAGCUGACCAAAAUAUAUAUUGCCUGAGGAAAUCAUUUGAGCCCUGCAGAGUCCAGAACAUAGUGAGAAUGUGGUCCAGGCAAAACAGAGGUCAAAUCCCAGGAAAGAAGCUGCCCCAAGGCAAAAAAAAAAAAACAGAAGCAAAUGAGACACACAAUAAAAGAGCAGCUUUUAACCUUUGAACAAA